Molecule: transfer RNA, 72 nt
Filed under: Camelus bactrianus (Bactrian camel)
Lineage: Eukaryota; Metazoa; Chordata; Mammalia; Artiodactyla; Camelidae
Also listed under: 1 other name
Rfam family: tRNA
About the family: Transfer RNA (tRNA) molecules are approximately 80 nucleotides in length. Their secondary structure includes four short double-helical elements and three loops (D, anti-codon, and T loops).
Source: Rfam by way of RNAcentral
GGGGAUACUGGUCAGAAGUAGAGCAUGUGCUUAGCAUGCACCAGAUCCUGGGUUCAAUCCCCAGUAUCUCCA